GACCCGAAAGAUGAUGAAAUAUGCCUGGGCAAGGUGAAGCCAGAGGAAACUGUGGAGGUCCAUAGUGGUCCUGAUGUGCAAAUCGGUCAUCCAACUUGAGUAUAGGGACUAAAGACUAAUCGAAUCAUUUAGUAGCUGG
Molecule: non-coding RNA, 139 nt
Filed under: Monodelphis domestica (gray short-tailed opossum)
Lineage: Eukaryota; Metazoa; Chordata; Mammalia; Didelphimorphia; Didelphidae
Description: Eukaryotic large subunit ribosomal RNA
Rfam family: Eukaryotic large subunit ribosomal RNA
Source: Rfam by way of RNAcentral